Non-coding RNA from Python bivittatus (Burmese python), 271 nucleotides. The record is from RefSeq and is a predicted model, not a curated record. NCBI's taxonomy places the organism in Eukaryota, Metazoa, Chordata, Lepidosauria, Squamata, Pythonidae.
UCCAGAGAGCUAGGUCUUCGCAUAAUGUGUCCGAAGUAGGAUAACUCUAGUCUGGUCAUUUGUGCCUCAAUGGGGCUGAAUCAAGUUAUCCAGCUCUUCCCGCUCCCCACCCGCAACCAUUCCUGGAUUGCCCCUCUCCCUCCAGAAUGGGCUCUAUUGUCCUGGUGCUUUUGGUAUUUUUACUGAGGACAGCACUGAACAUGAAGUUAAAUGCAGAGGAACUGAAACUAUGUGCCUUGAUCUCGUGGGAUACAGACAAGAACAUUGUAAU